This 181-nucleotide unclassified non-coding RNA is filed under the name Glomeromycotina sp. RNAcentral describes it as "partial contains small subunit ribosomal RNA, internal transcribed spacer 1, and 5.8S ribosomal RNA". The stretch from base 1 to 47 matches the Rfam family "Eukaryotic small subunit ribosomal RNA", at positions 1785 to 1831 of the family's 1831-position model. The record is from RNAcentral. Lineage: Eukaryota; Fungi; Glomeromycota.
AAAGUCGUAACAAGGUUUCCGUAGGUGAACCUGCGGAAGGAUCAUUAAUAAUUUGCCGAACCUAGCGUUAGCGAGGUUCUGCGAUCACUUAUAUUUAAAACCCAACUCUUAAAUGAUAAUAUGUAUUUUUUGAAUGAUAAAAAUUAAAAGAUCACUUUCAACAACGGAUCUCUUGGCUCUC